Molecule: long non-coding RNA, 5254 nt
Organism: Ailuropoda melanoleuca (giant panda)
Lineage: Eukaryota; Metazoa; Chordata; Mammalia; Carnivora; Ursidae
Exons: 2
Source: RefSeq, a predicted model, not a curated record
GGUGGGGGGUGGGGUGGGUGGCUCUUACCCUCACAGCAUCCUUUUGUUUUCAGCUUUAUUCCCUCCUUCUAUCGUACCUAGUGUCCUUGGAGCCCAGACUCUUUCUGGUUCAGCCUUUCCAAAAAAGCCUGGAGAAGAGCAAGAUGAGGGAGAAGAACUGUCCUCUGAAAACAGGCUGGGGGCCAGCACUCUUCUUUCAGUGUAUCCUUCAUCUCUUUCUUCAGAGGCAUGGGCUCAGGAGGUCUUUUUGCCUCUCACUGGUGUCCUCUGUCGUUGGCCGUUAGCUUUUACAUUUUUUAAAUUUAUUUUUUAUUGUUUUGGCAAUUAGUUUUUAGCUCCCUCAACUCCCCAUCAGUUGCUGCUAGUCCGUUUGCUUCGGGUCUUCCAAAAUUUUGUUGAACUCUCAACCAGUGUCCUCUUGCUCUCAUUUCAGCUGUUUCCUUGUGGUUACUACCUUUUUUAAUUUUAAAAAUUAUUUUAAACUGAAUUAUUUUCCAAGGGAACAGAGAGAAACUGUGAACUCAUGUUUAAUAGGAAGCUUUUAACCUUGUUGCUUCCCCUCCUAAAAAAUGAAAGCAUCAUUUUCCUGAUUAGGUUAUAUAUAUCCAUCAUAGAAUAUUAGAGCAGAAAAUUAUAAAGGAGGAAGUAAAAAAAAAUCACUUUCUAGUAGUUAUCUUUGGGUGGUGAUGUUACAUUUUUUUCAGGUAUACAUACCCAACCUGUCAGCAUCAGUGACAUGUUUCUAAGUCAGUAGAUACAGAAUUGCAUUGUCAUUUUUUAAUAGCUAAAUAGUAUUCCAGUAUAGGAGUAUCCCACUUAAGUCUUUGUUGGACUUUUGAUGCGAGUUCCUCUCCCCCCCCACACAGUGUAAACAAAUAUAACACAUAUCAUGUAUACUCAAUUAUUUACUUAUUUAAUUAUUUUUUUAGUAUGAAUCCCUGGAAAUGGAAUUUCCAAGUCAAAGGAAAUGUAUAUUUUAAAGGCUUUUUUCCACUCUGUUGCCAUAUAACUUCCUCAGCCCCCAGAAAAACUGUAGACUAGUUUAUGCUUUUAUCAGAGAUACACAAGCAACCCUAUUUCCCUAACUAGCUGUUAUAAUUUAUUCUUUUAAAUUAACUACUUAGGUUCCACUUAUUAGUUUGUAAUAUUAGCUACCAGUUUGAAGUUAAAAAACUAUUUUUCCCCAAGAAGCACUUUUUUUUAAAAAGAUUUUAUUUAUUUGAAAGAAAGAGGGGGAGAGAGAGAGAGUGCUAGCAUGAGAGGGGAGAGGGGCAGAGGGAGAAGGAGAAGCAGACACCCUGCUGCGCAGGGAGCCCAUCCUGGGCCUCCAUCCCAGGACCCUGAGAUCAUGACCUGAGCUGAAGGCAGAUGCUUAACCAACCGAGCCACCCAGGCGCCCCCUAAGAAGAACAUUCUUACAGUUAACUCUGGACACUAUAAAGUUUUAAAUAACAGAUGGCUUAUUAACAUAGUCAGAUUCAAAGUUAGGUUACUUUAUGACCAAAGAAACAGGGACUUAAUGUUUUCUUCUUAAAAAUGGCUUUGUCAGUUAUAGUAUUAUUGAUAUACCACACUUUCUAUAUUACUGUCAUUAGACUACCAGAAUUUUCUUUGAUACAGAUCCUAAUUUUUUAAUGUAGUAUUUCAAAAAGUAUUUCAGCCAAUAAGCUAUUAUUCUUAGUCACUCUCUGAAUGUACUAAUGGGGAAAAUGCAACUUAAAUAAUCUGUCAUUGUACAUUUCCCUAUGUAAAAGGAAUAAUGGGGAAAGUCAACCUGGAUCACAAUCAGGUGAAAAAUGGAAUAAAAUUCUAGGGCCUGCUGGGUCCUCAUAACUUUCCUAGACUGAGGCAUGAAAUCAAACAAUUAAUGAUUUCUAUAAUAUAUAAUAAUCAUUAGCUUCAUUGUAUAAAUCCUUGUUUUCCUGUGCCACAAAAUAUUUCUCUUGCCAUACUUCUGCUUCUAAUGACAAUUUCAGAGACUGAAUGCAAUAAGUAUAAAAUAGUCUUGAUUGUGUUCAGCUAAAUCUGCCUGAAAUCAUGCAUCUUGGAUACAUGGCCUCUUCAUGUUUGAAACAGAAGUGUGAGAUACCUAACCAGACCCAACUUUGGGUAAUAAAUCUAUAACCCAAAAACCCAAAUCUUAGUAGUCUCUGUAACAUUGACCUAGUGCUUUCAGGCAUCCAGGAAAAGUGUCCAGUAAACCAGUCAAUUUCUCUACACAGCUCUGGGGAAAUUCACUGCAGCCAAGUGGCAUGCUCUCUGAUUUUAUUUAAUUGAGUUUUACUUAGAAUAUAUAAACACUGCAAGUUGGUUAGAAAUGGCACAUAUUCUAGCCUGUUUUGCAAGGAUUAUACAGUCCAGAGCAAUGCAGUGAUCCAACACUACCUUGGCUAACGAAUGUAUUUUCUUUUUGUUAGGCAACAGUGACAAGAACAGUUUUGUUGGUGAACACGCCUAAGGUGAUAGAUUCUUCAUCAUGUGUUCAUGGGCCCCGAUUCCCCACCAGGGUAGAAAAAUGUUCUUCCCAACAAACAUCAAAUUCUAUCCUCCUGGUAACCAAGCACGUGAACUCCCAUGUGGUGUUCAUUCCCUUCUUGUUUGGUAAAAAGGUUUAAGGGGGUUAGUGCAGUGACUGGGUUUCUUUGGGAUUGUGACUAGAGAAAGGGGGACCAAAUUUUUAAGUCAAUAGAUUUCUCUUAUUUUCCAGCUGCCAAGACACUGCUCCCCCAGGGCUGGUUAGAAGUAGUGGGAAGAUGUCCCUUUUGACCAGGAUUUUUCUUAGAAAAGCAUCACACAGUUCCAGUGUCUCUGGUGAUCUUUCUGAGUGGCCCACACAGCAACAGGCGGGAGGGUUGUCUAAAGGUGAGCUGCUGUGGCGGUUUUUCUGACGCUCACAUCAGGUGGUCUAAUGUCAGUUUGUAGGGCUCGAGGUAAAGGGCAGUUUUCAUUUUAACUGAUUUCAAGUCAAAGACUGGGGAGAAGUUGGAAGGCUUGGUUUGAAGAGUCAUAGGCAGAUAUUCAGGGAGACCAGGAGAACUCAGUACCCAGCCGAGUUUUAUAGGGAAACAACACUCAAAAAAACCCAAAUAAUUAGAAGUAGCACCCAACAUCCACAAAGGUUUAUUUUUAUUUUUUUAACUUUAUUUUAAUGCAAGUAUAGUUAACAUAUAUAGCAUUAUGUUAAUUUCUGGGGUACAAUAUAGUGAUCCCACAGUUCCAGACACCUCCCCAUAACUGAGCUGUAAUGUUUCAGCAAAUAGACAUGGUUAAUUUGAGCAAGUUUCAUGCUCCCUUACUACCUGUUCAGAAGAGGACAAGGUUGUUUUUUGUGUUUUUUUAAAAUGUUUAUAGGGGUUGGGAUUACAUAAAUAUUGAUGAAAAGGGCAGGGAAAUUUACGACUCUUUCUUUUUUAACAGAUUUAUUUAUUUGAGAGAAAGAGUGUGGGGGGAGGGGUAGAGAGAGAGUGAGUCUUAGACUCCAUGCUGAAUGGGGAGCGGGAGGUGGGGCUGGAUCUCACCACCCUGAGAUCGUGACCUGAGCCGAAACCAAGAGUCGGAUGCUUAACCAACUAUGCCACCCCAGCACUGGUAAGUUAUGAUUUUCUUUAAGAAAGACGGAGUAAUGCGCGUUGAGCAAACAUUUGAAACGUGCAUCCUUUGUUAGGGUAGAGACUUAACAUUAACAUGAGACAAAAUUUGGCCCCUUCGUUCAGGAGGUCAUGUUAGGACAAGGUGAGGGGCUAGGUGCAAGGUCCGUGAACCAGUAGAAACUGGAUGGGAUCUUGGGUUCCUUAUCUCGGGGAAGGAAUGCAGAGCCUUGCUCGUUCAUAGGCUGGAAGCAUACUCGUGACCUUCAGUUUAUGCCUCUGCGCACAGGCAGAGUGGAUUCCUUAGUGGGGUCUGGAAAGAAUCAGUAGCUGAUUCAGAGAAACAGGUCUCUGAAAAACAAGCUUUAAGUUUCCUGUUAGUUUCAACCUCAUUAACCCUUAUGGGCGUGGUUUCAGGUAUAGGUAGUAUCUAAUAAGAAUACAAAGUAAUAGGGGUGCCUGGGUGGCUCAGUCAGGUAAGCGCUGGACUCUUAAUUUGGCUCAGGUCAUGAUCUCAGGGUCGUAGGACUUGAGCCCCCUCUUGGGCUCUAUGCUAGGCAUGGAGCCUGCAUGAGAUAUUCUCUCUCUCUCUCUCUCUCUCACUCUGCCCCUCCCCUCCCCCACCCACUUGUAGGUGUGCUCUCUCUCUCAAAUAAUAAUAAUAAAGUCUCCUUUUAAAAGAGAAGAAUAUAAAUUAGUAGUUUUGUGGUGGUUUGAGAAGUACCAAUGGCCUGAAAUGUUGACCUUUGCUGCCACCUGCAGGCUAUAUUUCAUAAUGUAGGUAAUUCCGAUAAAAUGCCAUGUGUAAAAUACUGUUUGUCUUUUCUUUCCCCCGCUCUUUCUCACUUGCUGGCAGUGUAUCCUGUUUAUAAGAAACUGAGUGAUUGCCCAUUGUUCUCUAAAGCUUGUGGUACUAGAUUAUAUUUAGGAGUUCCCAAAAUGAAGUCUCUCAUGUAAACUCCCCCCCCAACAGGAUUUUCGCUAAUAAAAAUGAAAUAUAGUGACUUUCAUGAAUAGAGCCUAUGCAAAUAAGGAAAGUAAUAAGAAAUAAAAGGUUCUAGAGCCAAAUCUGUACUUGAGAAUGUAAGUGUUUCCUUGAGAUCCAAAUGUGACCUUGGGGAGCAGAUGGGCUUACUUCGGAACUGAGCUGUGAUGUGUCAACAGAGUAGACAUGGUGAAUUUGAGCAAGUUUCAUGUUCUUUGACUGCCUGUUCAGUGAUUACUUUUAGGAAUUUGGUUCUGUGUAAUUUGAACGAUGAUUUUCCCACACUCAGCUUUCUAUUUUUCUCUCAUUUUAAUGAGAAAUUCAGUAAUUGAAGCAAGCUUUCCUAAACCUCCAGACCAGUAUUAGGUCAAACACUUCCAUGAAUUUGAGGUUUUGGUGCCUGUCCCAGAAACCCAGUUGUUUCUGAGGUCACCUGGGCUGUUGAGCGGUAGACUGUACACACGCAGGCAUGUGCACCUUCACGGUCGCUGUUUUCCCUCAUUGCAUGUAAAAUAACGCUCAUCUGUACAUUGACAUUGCUGUUGAGGGGCCUUCAGGAUUUUAGGGAUGAGCUUGUAUUAAUCCUAAGUAGCUUGCUUGCUGGAAUAUAAUUGAAUUUGAAAUUACGGAGUACUCGAUUGAUUGAUUCCGAGGCCGCCUUUUCUUACCCAUCUCUCCGCUC